AUACGGAGGGUGCGAGCGUUAAUCGGAAUUACUGGGCGUAAAGCGCGCGUAGGCGGUCUGCCAAGCCGGAUGUGAAAUCCCCGGGCUCAACCCGGGACGUGCAUACGGAACUGUCAGGCUAGAGUACGGUAGAGGUGAGUGGAAUUUCCUGUGUAGCGGUGAAAUGCGUAGAUAUGGGAAGGAACAUCAGUGGCGAAGGCGGCUCACUGGACUGAUACUGACGCUGAGGUGCGAAAGCGUGGGGAGCAAACAGGAUUAGAAACCCCAGUAGUCC
RNAcentral lists this ribosomal RNA (274 nucleotides) under uncultured bacterium. Its description in RNAcentral is "partial 16S ribosomal RNA". It matches the Rfam family "Bacterial small subunit ribosomal RNA", at positions 523 to 796 of the family's 1533-position model. The record is from RNAcentral.